UGGGGAAUUUUGGACAAUGGGCGAAAGCCUGAUCUAGCAAUGCCGCGUGUGUGAAGAAGGCCUUCGGGUUGUAAAGCACUUUUGUCCGGAAAGAAAUCCUUGGCUCUAAUACAGUCGGGGGAUGACGGUACCGGAAGAAUAAGCACCGGCUAACUACGUGCCAGCAGCCGCGGUAAUACGUAGGGUGCAAGCGUUAAUCGGAAUUACUGGGCGUAAAGCGUGCGCAGGCGGUUUGCUAAGACCGAUGUGAAAUCCCCGGGCUCAACCUGGGAACUGCAUUGGUGACUGGCAGGCUAGAGUAUGGCAGAGGGGGGUAGAAUUCCACGUGUAGCAGUGAAAUGCGUAGAGAUGUGGAGGAAUACCGAUGGCGAAGGCAGCCCCCUGGGCCAAAUACUGACGCUCAUGCACGAAAGCGUGGGGAGCAAACAGGAUUAGAUACCCUGGUAGUCCACGCCCUAAACGAUGUCAACUAGUUGUUGGGGAUUCAUUUCCUUAGUAACGUAGCUAACGCGUGAAGUUGACCGCCUGGGGAGUACGUCGCAAGAUUAAAACUCAAAUGAAUUGACGGGG
RNAcentral lists this ribosomal RNA (570 nucleotides) under uncultured bacterium. RNAcentral describes it as "partial 16S ribosomal RNA". It matches the Rfam family "Bacterial small subunit ribosomal RNA", at positions 355 to 918 of the family's 1533-position model. The record is from RNAcentral.